AUGGAAGCAGGGAAUGGAUAGGAAGAAGUUAGCAUGCAAAGAAUUACAGAUGAAAGGCAGCACCAUGAGAACAUUGAGAAGAUAAACGUUGUUAGGAAUUGUAGAGCUCUCAGGCUGGCCUGGGCUCUGAGCACCCUUAUGGAGCUGGAGAUGCCCGUGUUCAUUGCAGGGAGGUAGAGCUAGCUGACCUUUAAAAGUCCCUUUCAAAUCAAAUGAUUCUAUCGUUCUUACAACUGUCUGCACAAAAACUGAUCAAUUUGAAUACUGGUUUGUUAACAGGUAAACUAGGAUAGCUAUCAAUGUUUUAUCUAUGGAGGGAUAGCAUAGAGCUUUAAACUCAUUCAGAGGCGUGAAGCAUUUACAGAACUAGCAGCUUUUAUUGCAAGCUAAAGAAACAGAGAUACUGAGAUAUCCCUGCUCCAUUCUGCCUAACAAAACACUCUGUAUCAUCGUAUAUAUCAGUACAUUCAGAGACUAUGAGAACAUCAAUUUAAAUAUCAGUUCUUCCAGUAACCAUCAGUUAAGCCUAUUCAGGCCAUAAUACUGUUAUUACCAUUCUAUUUCAACUGAUGCUCCCCUGCUUCUGCAGAUAACAGAUUAUAAAUUAACACAGAUCCCAACAGAACGUGGCCUCCAAGAGGACAAAUGCAAAUCACAUUUGCACUCUACCCUUCAGAACAGAUGUGUGAGUGCAUGUGAUCUUUAGAGCUGGUACAUCUUACAGUGCCCCAAGAGUCAAGGUUGCAUCCUGAGUGCCAUCAGUGCUCUCCUAAGUGGCUGUGCACAGAAGAGAAAAUGCAGAACAAUUCUGCAUAUGGCAGAAUGCUUUCUAAUUUUUUUUUUUACACAGGCCCUGAAAAAAAUAUUGGAAUUAUUUUACAUACUUUUUUAUACCAUAUAUAAAGGUUAAAAUUUAGAUAACACAAAAAUUACUAAUGGAUGCUAUUUUUUCUUUCUGCAAAGAGCUGUCAUUAAACAUAAGAAUUCCUUCAGAGACAAAGAGUGAGUACAAGGUUUUCCCUUCUGUGCACACAAAAUUGAAAAAUUUUCUCCAGAUGAGCAAUAAAUGAAUCAAAACUUGACAAAUUAAAUUCACCUCAGGGACAUCUUAUUCCUGAAUUUCUAACAGAAGUAUUAACAUUUACUAUGUGACUAGAUACCUUGGCACGUUCAUAAUAAACUAAACCUUUUAUCUGAAGUCUGAAUUUAAAUAAAGCUCUUGAAAGAAUUAAAACCUCUGUCAACUUCUGCUCUUCAGAGGCGGUAUUUUCUUAUUAAUUUCUGGAAAGUAUUUUCAGUUCAUAUAUAAUUUGUUAUGCCACAACACGUAGAGUCACUAGAAUAGUUCAGACAAGGGGAAAAUUAACCUUCAGCAGUAACCAAAAUACCACUAAUGAGGCAAUAAUAACCAAUAGCAAAGAUGAGGCAUCCCAUCAAUCCAAUCAGUGUUUGAUUGAAUCUUUCCCUAGAAACCACAUUAAAUUAUAAAAACAUCACGAAUUUACCUGACCCAAAAUGAACAAUCAGGUUUACUGGGUCAGGUGAGUAAAAGCCAUCCUAUACUCACCCCUUCAGGGAAGGCAGAGAUAAGUGAAACUCAAGAACCUGCCAAUAGAUAUUGAGUUAGCUGAAUAUAAAGCAAACACAAAUCUGGAAAUGCUAUGCAUAUGGCUAUCUGUUCCUGCACAGUCAUUGUUUGAUUGUGUUUUGAACAAGAUACAAGUUGAGGGAAGAACUUAUUUUGGAUGCCAUCACCAAGAAGUGGAAGAAAGGAAGGUUAUCAGAUGAAGUCAGCAUUUGCAAGAGGAAAUCAUGCUUGACCGACUUGGUAGCCUUCUGUGAUGUCACGACUGGCUGGGUCAAUGAGGAGAGCAGUGGGCACUGUCUACCUUGAUUUCAGCAAGGCUUUUGACACUAUCACUGAUAACAUCCUCAUCAUUCUGACAGGGUCAGAGUGAGGUGUGACAGAGCAUCAUGACUACUGAAGACCACUACCAGUCGCAUCAGGGUAAACUGUGCCUUGCCACUGGUUAAUUUAUGGGAGCUCCAAAUAUAUCUCAUCAUGGAAAAAAUCCACCUGAGCAACUUGAGAGGGAAUGGGAAGGUGGACAAGAAUUCCUGUCACAUACAGAGGAGAAAACCUCCAUCACUGAAGUGACCCAUACCUGUGUGUUGGUCCUGUUCAUCCCCAUCUAACAAACAGGCCUGACACGACUUCACAGGAACCAAUAUUAUCCCUUCAUUAUCAUCAUAUGAGCAGUUUUCUCAAUGAUCUGCAUUUGUUUCUUCCUUAAUAAAUGGAGAGAAAUA
This is a long non-coding RNA of Phasianus colchicus (ring-necked pheasant), 2310 nucleotides long. RefSeq lists it as uncharacterized. The record is from RefSeq and is a predicted model, not a curated record. NCBI's taxonomy places the organism in Eukaryota, Metazoa, Chordata, Aves, Galliformes, Phasianidae.